RNAcentral lists this ribosomal RNA (253 nucleotides) under uncultured bacterium. Its description in RNAcentral is "partial 16S ribosomal RNA". It matches the Rfam family "Bacterial small subunit ribosomal RNA", at positions 524 to 776 of the family's 1533-position model. The record is from RNAcentral.
UACAGAGGGGGCAAGCGUUGUUCGGAAUUACUGGGCGUAAAGGGCGCGUAGGCGGCCUUCUAAGUCAGACGUGAAAUCCCCCGGCUUAACCUGAGAACUGCGUCUGAUACUGGGAGGCUCGAGUGCGGGAGAGGGAUGCGGAAUUCCAGGUGUAGCGGUGAAAUGCGUAGAUAUCUGGAGGAAUACCGGUGGCGAAGGCGGCAUCCUGGACCGAGGUUGACACUGAGGAGCGAAAGCCAGGGGAGCAAACGGG